RNAcentral lists this ribosomal RNA (497 nucleotides) under uncultured bacterium. RNAcentral describes it as "partial 16S ribosomal RNA". It matches the Rfam family "Bacterial small subunit ribosomal RNA", at positions 28 to 507 of the family's 1533-position model. The record is from RNAcentral.
GACGAACGCUGGCGGCGUGCCUAAUACAUGCAAGUAGAACGCUGAAGCUUGGUGCUUGCACCGAGCGGAUGAGUUGCGAACGGGUGAGUAACGCGUAGGUAACCUGCCUGGUAGCGGGGGAUAACUAUUGGAAACGAUAGCUAAUACCGCAUAAGAGUAGAUGUUGCAUGACAUUUGCUUAAAAGGUGCAAUUGCAUCACUACCAGAUGGACCUGCGUUGUAUUAGCUAGUUGGUGAGGUAACGGCUCACCAAGGCAACGAUACAUAGCCGACCUGAGAGGGUGAUCGGCCACACUGGGACUGAGACACGGCCCAGACUCCUACGGGAGGCAGCAGUAGGGAAUCUUCGGCAAUGGACGGAAGUCUGACCGAGCAACGCCGCGUGAGUGAAGAAGGGUUUCGGAUCGUAAAGCUCUGUUGUAAGAGAAGAACGAGUGUGAGAGUGGAAAGUUCACACUGUGACGGUAUCUUACCAGAAAGGGACGGCUAACUACGUG